UUUACAGUAUUUGCCAGGAGGGAUGCAGUUCUCUUGGGAAAUUGGUGAGAGUAACAGAGGCAAGGACCAAUACGGAAACAUUGUUUUAUAUGAUCAUUCUCGCCUCUUAUUGGAGGAAAUGGAGGGUGAUAAAAACUUCAGUUACAUCAAUGCAAGCUACAUUCCGGACGCAGAAAAAAGGAAUGUGCAGCAGUUUCAUUACGUCACUUGGCCAGACAAAGGUGACUUGAAUUUAGG
Stylophora pistillata is the source of this 237-nucleotide long non-coding RNA. NCBI's taxonomy places the organism in Eukaryota, Metazoa, Cnidaria, Anthozoa, Scleractinia, Pocilloporidae. The record is from RefSeq and is a predicted model, not a curated record.